Molecule: ribosomal RNA, 507 nt
Filed under: uncultured bacterium
Lineage: Bacteria
Description: bacterial SSU rRNA
Rfam family: Bacterial small subunit ribosomal RNA
Source: RNAcentral
AGAGUUUGAUCCUGGCUCAGGAUGAACGCUGGCGGCGUGCCUAACACAUGCAAGUCGAACGGACCUAUAUUAACAGAGACUUCGGUGAAGUGGUUUAGGUUAGUGGCGGACGGGUGAGUAACGCGUGGAGAACCUGCCCUGUACUGGGGGAUAACAGUGAGAAAUCACUGCUAAUACCGCAUAAGCGCACGAAACCGCAUGGUUUUGUGUGAAAAACUCCGGUGGUACAGGAUGGCUCCGCGUUGGAUUAGCCUGUUGGCGGGGUAACGGCCCACCAAAGCUACGAUCCAUAGCCGGCCUGAGAGGGUGAACGGCCACAUUGGGACUGAGACACGGCCCAGACUCCUACGGGAGGCAGCAGUGGGGAAUAUUGCACAAUGGGGGGAACCCUGAUGCAGCGACGCCGCGUGAAGGAAGAAGUAUCUCGGUAUGUAAACUUCUAUCAGCAGGGAAGAAAAUGACGGUACCUGACUAAGAAGCCCCGGCUAACUACGUGCCAGCCGCGGC